AUCAGGAUGUGUUCGCACUGCUUGUUCCCAGUUGUUGCGACAAGUCUGGAACAAGUUGUUAUCACCUUGUUACAAGGUUGAUGACGGUAACAGACUUGCUACAAGUUGUUCCAACAAGAUUAAUACAGGCUGUUCACGUAACAAGUUGCUACGAGCUUGUUGUCAUCAACUUGUUACGUGGAGACGAUAUCAGACUUGUUGGAACAACU
This is a non-coding RNA of Paramuricea clavata, 209 nucleotides long. NCBI's taxonomy places the organism in Eukaryota, Metazoa, Cnidaria, Anthozoa, Malacalcyonacea, Plexauridae. The record is from the annotation of a GenBank genome assembly.